RNAcentral lists this long non-coding RNA (2678 nucleotides) under Homo sapiens (human). RNAcentral describes it as "HSALNT0367012". The record is from RNAcentral. Lineage: Eukaryota; Metazoa; Chordata; Mammalia; Primates; Hominidae.
GCUUUGGAAGCAUGGUUGUGGGCAGAGCUGGGAUAAUUUUGUGUGUGCGUGAUUCUUAGUUAUGCUGACAGCUUUCAGGUUUUGAAAUCCUGUCUCUUCCCUGUUGGUUUAACCUGUGUUAUCCACAUUUUUUUAUCUCAUUUAUUUCAUUAAUUUCAUUCACUCAGCCCAAAGAUGAUUAUUUGGCCUCUACUGUGCACUAGGUGAUGUGUUCUUUACUGGGCUUUCUUGUUAUGAAACAAAUCAUUUGUGGCCAAUACAUGGGUGGAAACCACAAGACCCCAAAUUGAAGGCAGUUUAUUGCAGUGAUUUAAAAAAAAAACAAAAAACAAAAAAACUCAGUAGGAGAAAUAAAAUUUGAUACGAUUAGUAGUAUUUUUGCCUGUGUUUGAAUAUUAAAUUCACUUAAAAUUCUGCACCUUCCUAUGCAUUCCCCCCUCCCAUAUAUACACCUGCAACAUACAUAUGUGCACAUUCUGAUUUUCAUAAUGCUUUACUACAAAUAAUAACAGCAAUAAGAAAGGGCUCUUCAAAUGAGUGUAAUAAUAAUGGAUAAUACUGAAUUAUAAGAUUCCUUCUAAGAAUGUGUUAUGGUCAGAAACACAGUAAAAGGUGGUAAAUGAAUAAUGGUGAAAUAAUGAGUCAAUAUGCUGGAGAUGAUACACCUGAAGCACAGAUAAAUCAAAUUGGCUACAGUCACAUGGCUAGAAAAUGGCAGAGCCAGGAAAAUAACACAGAAUUUCAUGAACACUGUAUUUAUUGCUCCACCAUAUUCAGUGUGUCCUGUGCUUUUGGGGUGUUAAAGUAGUGGUGGUGAUCAUUCUCCUCGUGUCUCGGGUGUUUCAUGCUCUAAGAAAAACAUUGCGAGCUCUUAGAGGCGUGGGAUUUACACUUGGAAGCAGGCGUAGGGACCGUUCUGCCCAACUUUUUCAUUUUACUGACCGAUGAGCUGAUACUUUGAGGGCUAAGAGAUUAGCAAGUGUUGUAAAGGUUUCUGGAACCAUUGAGCACUCACCCCCACCCACGUUUCAGAAAUCUCCUUGGUCUAUUAUUCCAGUGUGCUGCCCAAGUAUUGUCAUUUCCUUUGUGUGCUGUGACGUGAAAAAAACUGAGGAUGCAUUCACUGGUAGCAAGCCACAUAUUUAUAAAUGAGUACAACACAGAAAUUGGUUUGAUUUUUCUCUUGUACAUUAUAUUUUGUUCAGAAUUCAUUAUUCCCUAGAUGAACAAAACAAGUUUAUGUUUUUUGAAAGUUAAAUUUCUGAAGAGCAAUGAAACAGAGCUGUUGCUAAUUAAAGUUUAAAAACCACUAGUGAAAAUAAACACCAAAACAUGGUUAACUUAAAGGAGAUUAAAAGGAGAGUGGGGGAAACAGCAAGGAUGAAUUCAAUGUGCAAGUUUGUUUAAAAUUAUAUACAACUUAAGGAGUCAUGAAAAGGAAAUAUUAUUGUAUUUUACAUAGAUAGAUAGAUGAGUAUAAAUAGUAUCUCCCUUGUAUAGAUUAAAGAAAGCUGUUAUCAUUAUCAGCUGACUCUGGAAAGAGGUGUCAGCUUAGUGAAGCCAGCAAACCUUAGUUUCCUCUGAGUGCCAGAGAGCCACUGUUAUCAUAUUCUCUUUCAUGAGCACCAAAUGUGCUUUAGGAUGUACAUGUGAGAUACAGCUAUGCCCUUGCUAGUGAGUUUAUAUUCUCGUGUAAGAGCUCAGUAAGUAAGCUAGUCAUCACAAUGAAAUGGGAUAAGUACUGUGCCGCUAAUUUGAAUUGGAUUUUCUGUUAUUUGAGGCUGGAAGAGUCCCAUUCCCAUGAAGAAUGCCUGUGUACUUAACAUAUCUUAAAGAAUGCAAAUGAUUCGGGAGUCUCCAUAUCUGUAGGGGCCCAAUGAAACAAAAAGCUUAUAAAUAUACUUGCCAACCACAUACAUGUCUUAGGACUCAGACCAUAAACCCAUAGAUACAACGUAAUUUGCCAGAGGUCCCAUAAAAUACUAAUAAUAAGGCUAGUUGUCCCUGGCUCUAGCUUAGUUAGAAUACCAUUUAUGUUGGGUGAGAAACAUUUCUUCUGAUAGAGUGCCUACUGUCAACAUAGAGCAAAGAUAGACAUUAGUCAAGUUUUUACACAGGUCAAUAAAGUGUGUUUAAAUGGGUUGAACCUGAGACUGGACAUAUAUUUAGUUUACCAGAGAAGAAUCUUCUAGGCUGAAGACACUCACAGGGUCUAAAAGAACCCAGUGUGCCUGGAACUAGGCAAGCAAGAUGGGGUCCCCUAGCCAUGGCUGACAUUAAUUUGUUUCUUUAUUAAUUGUUAAAAUCUGCUUACAACCAUGUUGGAGAACUGAAGAUGAUUCAUUUAGCCAGAAAUUUCAGUUAUCUCAGUGUUAUUGCAAGUUCCCUAUCUGAUCUUCCUCUUUUUGCUUGCCUUACUCUUGUGAGACAACUAUUAGGAGGGGACUAUACAAAGAGUUUUGAUUUUUUUAAUUUGUAUAUAAUCAUAGGGUACAAGUGCAGUUUUACUACAUUGAUAUAUAUUGCAUUGUGGUAAAAUCAGGGCCUUCAGUGUGCAUCUAUCACUGGAGCAAUGCACGUUGUACCUACCAGAGAGCCUCCCAGCACAUCGUACCUACGAAGCAACCUCCUAUCAUCCACCCUUCUCCUACCCUCCCAUCCCUCUGAGUCCCUGUAUU